Molecule: ribosomal RNA, 253 nt
Filed under: uncultured bacterium
Lineage: Bacteria
Description: partial 16S ribosomal RNA
Rfam family: Bacterial small subunit ribosomal RNA
Source: RNAcentral
UACGGAGGGUGCAAACGUUGCUCGGAAUUAUUGGGCGUAAAGCGCACGUAGGCGGACCAUCAAGUCGGAUGUGAAAUCCCUCGGCUUAACCGAGGACGUGCAUUCGAAACUGAUGGCCUUGAGUACGAAAGAGGAUCGCGGAAUUCCCGGUGUAGAGGUGAAAUUCGUAGAUAUCGGGAGGAACACCAGUGGCGAAGGCGGCGAUCUGGGUCGAUACUGACGCUGAGGUGCGAAAGCGUGGGGAGAGAAAAGG